Long non-coding RNA from Oreochromis niloticus (Nile tilapia), 602 nucleotides. RefSeq lists it as uncharacterized. The transcript is spliced from 3 exons. NCBI's taxonomy places the organism in Eukaryota, Metazoa, Chordata, Actinopteri, Cichliformes, Cichlidae. The record is from RefSeq and is a predicted model, not a curated record.
GGUAGCAGGACAGCGAAUAUGAGACUGAGUCAACAUAAACUACAGUGCGUGUGUGUGUGUGCGCUGCAAUGAAGCAACAUGUCACCAGUGCAACAGUGUGGCUCACUAAAACACCAGCAGUGCUCUGUGGCACAGAGCGCUCAGAGGGAACGUCCUGCGUGUCAGGACAGAGCCGGGUGAACCUUCUGUCCUCCUCGGGAGCCAGCGUCCUGAGCACAGCAGGUUCUCCUGCAGACAGGUGAUCCAUCAGCUCCAGCAGGUGUCGUCCUGCCUCUCUGUGCUCCAAAGGAGCCAAUCAUGUGGCGAGAUGCCCCCUCCUCUCCUCGCUCAGCCAAACAGCAGCUGUGUCGGUGCAGUAGGAGGGGCAAGGGCAGCGAGGAAGCACCACCAUGAGCCGGAGACGCUUUUAGAAACACCGGGUGGACCGAUAUAGCAGCCAGGACGGAACAGCCAAGGAAAGGAGAGGACGAGCUGGAUAAUCCUCGGUUUCAUCAGAGAAACAUUAAAGAUAAACUGACAAAGAUCAUCUCUUGUGUAUCAUCAUGCAAAACACUGUGGAUAUAAACAGUCGAGAUGAAAACAAGCACGUCUCUCACCUUAUU